This 99-nucleotide transfer RNA is filed under the name Halanaerobium praevalens DSM 2228. Its description in RNAcentral is "tRNA-SeC (TCA) (tRNA-SeC-TCA-1-1)". It matches the Rfam family "Selenocysteine transfer RNA". RNAcentral also lists the same sequence under 1 other name. The record is from RNAcentral. Lineage: Bacteria; Bacillati; Bacillota; Clostridia; Halanaerobiales; Halanaerobiaceae.
GGGAGUGGCUAUAUCCAUGGUGGAUAUCCUGGACUUCAAAUCCAGUGGCAGGCAGGCGGACCUGUCUGUGGUGGGUUCGAUUCCCACACAUUCCCGCCA